GACGAACGCUGGCGGCGUGCUUAACACAUGCAAGUCGAACGGAAAGGCCCUGCUUUUGUGGGGUGCUCGAGUGGCGAACGGGUGAGUAACACGUGAGUAACCUUCCCUUGACUUUGGGAUAACUUCGGGAAACUGGGGCUAAUACCGGAUAGGAGCUCCUGCUGCAUGGUGGGGGUUGGAAAGUUUCGGCGGUUGGGGAUGGACUCGCGGCUUAUCAGCUUGUUGGUGGGGUAGUGGCUUACCAAGGCUUUGACGGGUAGCCGGCCUGAGAGGGUGACCGGCCACAUUGGGACUGAGAUACGGCCCAGACUCCUACGGGAGGCAGCAGUGGGGAAUAUUGCACAAUGGGCGGAAGCCUGAUGCAGCAACGCCGCGUGCGGGAUGACGGCCUUCGGGUUGUAAACCGCUUUCGCCUGUGACGAAGCGUGAGUGACGGUAAUGGGUAAAGAAGCACCGGCUAACUACGUG
RNAcentral lists this ribosomal RNA (468 nucleotides) under uncultured bacterium. RNAcentral describes it as "partial 16S ribosomal RNA". It matches the Rfam family "Bacterial small subunit ribosomal RNA", at positions 28 to 507 of the family's 1533-position model. The record is from RNAcentral.